RNAcentral lists this unclassified non-coding RNA (351 nucleotides) under soil metagenome. RNAcentral describes it as "partial contains 5.8S ribosomal RNA, internal transcribed spacer 2, and large subunit ribosomal RNA". The stretch from base 1 to 120 matches the Rfam family "5.8S ribosomal RNA", at positions 35 to 154 of the family's 154-position model. The record is from RNAcentral.
GAUGAAGAACGCAGCGAAAUGCGAUAAGUAAUGUGAAUUGCCGAAUUCAGUGAAUCAUCGAAUCUUUGAACGCACAUUGCGCCCGCCAGUAUUCUGGCGGGCAUGCCUGUUCGAGCGUCAUUACAACCCUCAGGCCCCCGGGCCUGGCGUUGGGGAUCGGCGGAGCCCCCCGUGGGCACACGCCGCCCCCCAAAUGCAGUGGCGGUCCCGCCGCAGCUUCCAUCGCGUAGUAGCUAACACCUCGCGACUGGAGAGCGGCGCGGCCACGCCGUAAAACACCCAACUCUUCUGAAGUUGACCUCGAAUCAGGUAGGAAUACCCGCUGAACUUAAGCAUAUCAAUAAGCGGAGA